This 497-nucleotide ribosomal RNA is filed under the name uncultured bacterium. Its description in RNAcentral is "partial 16S ribosomal RNA". It matches the Rfam family "Bacterial small subunit ribosomal RNA", at positions 28 to 507 of the family's 1533-position model. The record is from RNAcentral.
GAUGAACGCUGGCGGCGUGCCUAAUACAUGCAAGUCGAGCGAACGGACGAGAAGCUUGCUUUUCUGAUGUUAGCGGCGGACGGGUGAGUAACACGUGGAUAACCUACCUAUAAGACUGGGAUAACUUCGGGAAACCGGAGCUAAUACCGGAUAAUAUUUUGAACCGCAUGGUUCAAAAGUGAAAGACGGUCUUGCUGUCACUUAUAGAUGGAUCCGCGCUGCAUUAGCUAGUUGGUAAGGUAACGGCUUACCAAGGCAACGAUGCAUAGCCGACCUGAGAGGGUGAUCGGCCACACUGGAACUGGGACACGGUCCAGACUCCUACGGGAGGCAGCAGUAGGGAAUCUUCCGCAAUGGGCGAAAGCCAGACGCAGCAACGCCGCGUGGGUGAUGAAGGUAUUGGGAUCGUAAAACUCUGCUAUUAGGGAAGAACAUAUGUGUAAGUAACUGAGCAAAUCUUGACGGUACCUAAUCAGAAAGCCACGGCUAACUACGUG